Molecule: RNA transcript, 1758 nt
Organism: Abrus precatorius (Indian licorice)
Lineage: Eukaryota; Viridiplantae; Streptophyta; Magnoliopsida; Fabales; Fabaceae
Exons: 7
Source: RefSeq, a predicted model, not a curated record
AAAUCUUAAUUCCUUAAAAGGCAACUUCUUUUUUCUUUUAUUUUUAUUUUUAAUUUAAUUUAAUACUCUCUGCAAUUUCAUUUCCACCUUCAAUCAAAACCCCCCUCUGCUUUCGCUCUCUUAUCUCUCUCUCUCUCUCCUCCAUUACCUUCCUUCACUCUUAGGACUAUCGCUUUCAAUCUCUCUCUCUCUCUCUCUCUCUCUCUCUCUCUCUCUCUCUCUCUUCGAUUUGGAUUUUGGGUUUUUUUUUCUUCUCAAUUUUCGUUUUUGCUUUUAUGGUGCUGGGUGGGUCACUGUAAUUGGCGGGAAGCAACCGCGAAUUCCGGUAGCUCUGUGUGGAAAGUUUGAAGCUUUGGGGUGUUUGAAGAAAAAGGGUUAUUUUCGUCAUCGAUGGCGAACCCAUCUGGGAACCAUCAAGAGCACGCUCACGUGUCGUCUUCGGCUCCCGAAACUUCAGGUGCUGCUCUCGCCAUGAAGCACAACCCUGGCAUAUCCCUCGAUUGGACCCCUGAAGAGCAAGCCAUUCUUGAAGAUGGACUCACCAAGUAUGCCUCAGAGUCCAACAUAGUACGCUAUGCAAAGAUAGCCCUACAGCUACAACAUAAAACUGUCCGUGAUGUAGCACUGCGAGUCAGGUGGAUGAAUAAGAAAGAAAAUAGCAAGAGAAGGAAGGAUGAUCAUAAUUUAUCUCGGAAAAGUAAAGAUAAAAAGGAAAGGGUUUCUGAUCCCACAGUGAAGUCAUCUAAUUUUGCUGCUCGGUCCAGUGUCUCCCCAUAUGCUCCACCAAUGAUUACAAUGGAUAAUGAUGAUGGCAUUUCUUAUACAGCAAUUGGAGGUCCCACUGGUGAGCUAUUAGAGCAAAAUGCACAGGCCUUGAAUCAAAUUUCCACAAAUCUUUCUGCUUUCCAGGAGGCAAUGAAACAUUGAAACUGCAGAACUGAUUACAGCUGGGAUAAUUCAUAAUGUCUCUGCUUGAUGUUAUGACAGCAACUUUCUAGUUAAUCAGUAUCAUUUUCAUUCUUAGCCCAUUCUCUCUGGCUGUAAAUUUGACCUUAAUUGUUUUGUUCUCUGUUUUUCUGUUUCCAGGUACAGGAGAACAUCAAUCUUUUCUGCCAAACUAGGGACAACAUCCUUAAAAUUAUGAAUGAUUUGAAUGACUUGCCAGAAGUGAUGAAGCAAAUGCCACCUCUUCCAGUGAAGGUGAAUGAAGAGCUAGCCAAUUCCAUACUUCCAAGAACAACUCUCCCACCACAAUCAUGAUAAACAUUCAUAGUUAACUGGGCUUGCCUCUCCCAUAUAUCUGCCUGCACUGGGACUCAAAAUCAUUCCUCUUCUGAUUAGCAGAAUAACUGCCAAUCAAGUUGACCCAAGAUUUACUAUUGGAAAAAAGAAGAAGAAAGAAUGAAUAAUUGUUGAUAGUCAUCAAGUUGAAUUAGUCUUCAAUAAUUUUAUUUUAUUUAUCUUCUAAAGUUGGUUUUCUGCCCUUGUUCUCUUGUUGGCUCUAACUUAGUUGUACUAUAGGAAUUAUUUAGUAUUCUUGGUAUUAAUUGAGUUAAAUUUAGGCAUUUAGAGCAAUAAGUUGUAGCAUAAUUUAUUUGUCGUCUGUUAUUGUUGUUGGUACAUUUUAUUAUGCAUAUUGUAUUAAAUGUUAGAUACCUGUACAAUGUUUGUAAGUGGGUUACACUGGGAUGCUGCUAUGCAUUCUUCCCUCCCGGUGUAAAACGUCAUUUUCAAUUAUGUGUAAAACACCUUCGAUUU